GACGAACGCUGGCGGCGUGCUUAACACAUGCAAGUCGAACGGAAAGGCCCUGCUUGCAGGGUACUCGAGUGGCGAACGGGUGAGUAACACGUGGGUGUUCUGCCCUGCACUUCGGGAUAAGCUUGGGAAACUGGGUCUAAUACCGGAUAGGAACCAUCCUUAGUGUGGUGGUUGGAAAGUUUUUUCGGUGUAGGAUGAGCUCGCGGCCUAUCAGCUUGUUGGUGGGGUAAUGGCCUACCAAGGCGGCGACGGGUAGCCGGCCUGGGAGGGUGUACGGCCACAUUGGGACUGGGAUACGGCCCAGACUCCUACGGGAGGCAGCAGGGGGGAAUAUUGCACAAUGGGCGCAAGCCUGAUGCAGCGACGCCGCGUGGGGGAUGAAGGCCUUCGGGUUGGAAACUCCUUUCGCUAGGGACGAAGCUUUGUUGUGACGGUACCGAGAUAAGAAGCACCGGCUAACUACGU
Molecule: ribosomal RNA, 465 nt
Filed under: uncultured bacterium
Lineage: Bacteria
Description: partial 16S ribosomal RNA
Rfam family: Bacterial small subunit ribosomal RNA
Source: RNAcentral